GCUGGGCACAGUGUCACAUGCCUGUAAUCCCAGCAUCUUGGGAGGCUGAGAUAGGAGAAUCACAAGUUCAAAGUCAGUCUCAGUAAUCUAGAAUGUCCCUAAGUAACUUAGUGAGACUCUGUCUCAA
Molecule: small RNA, 127 nt
Filed under: Marmota monax (woodchuck)
Lineage: Eukaryota; Metazoa; Chordata; Mammalia; Rodentia; Sciuridae
Source: RNAcentral